AGUAACGCGUGGGUAACCUGCCCCAUACAAUGGGAUAGCCACUGGAAACGGUGAUUAAUACCAUAUAAUGCUUUUGAGUCGCAUGACAUGAAAGCUAAAGAUUUAUCGGUAUGGGAUGGACCCGCGUCUGAUUAGCUAGUUGGUGAGGUAACGGCUCACCAAGGCGACGAUCAGUAGCCGACCUGAGAGGGUGAUCGGCCACACUGGAACUGAGACACGGUCCAGACUCC
RNAcentral lists this ribosomal RNA (230 nucleotides) under uncultured bacterium. Its description in RNAcentral is "partial 16S ribosomal RNA". It matches the Rfam family "Bacterial small subunit ribosomal RNA", at positions 109 to 339 of the family's 1533-position model. The record is from RNAcentral.